UACGUAGGCAGCGAGCGUUGUUCGGAGUUACUGGGCGUAAAGGGUGCGUAGGUGGCUUAGUACGUCAGGAGUGAAAUCCCCAGGCUCAACCUGGGAAUUGCUUUUGAGACUACUAAGCUUGAGUACAGGAGAGGUGAGUGGAAUUCCCAGUGUAGAGGUAAAAUUCGUAGAUAUUGGGAGGAACACCAGUGGCGAAGGCGGCUCACUGGCCUGUAACUGACACUGAGGCACGAAAGCGUGGGGAGCAAACAGG
RNAcentral lists this ribosomal RNA (253 nucleotides) under uncultured prokaryote. RNAcentral describes it as "partial 16S ribosomal RNA". It matches the Rfam family "Bacterial small subunit ribosomal RNA", at positions 524 to 776 of the family's 1533-position model. The record is from RNAcentral.